This 702-nucleotide ribosomal RNA is filed under the name Streptococcus suis. RNAcentral's name for it is "partial 23S ribosomal RNA". It matches the Rfam family "Bacterial large subunit ribosomal RNA", at positions 512 to 1212 of the family's 2925-position model. The record is from RNAcentral. Lineage: Bacteria; Bacillati; Bacillota; Bacilli; Lactobacillales; Streptococcaceae.
AGGUGAAAAGUACCCCGGAAGGGGAGUGAAAUAGAACCUGAAACCGUGUGCCUACAACAAGUUCGAGCCCGUUAAUGGGUGAGAGCGUGCCUUUUGUAGAAUGAACCGGCGAGUUACGAUAUGAUGCGAGGUUAAGUUGAAGAGACGGAGCCGUAGGGAAACCGAGUCUUAAUAGGGCGAAUUAGUAUUAUGUCGUAGACCCGAAACCAUGUGACCUACCCAUGAGCAGGUUGAAGGUGCGGUAAGACGCACUGGAGGACCGAACCAGGGCACGUUGAAAAGUGCUUGGAUGACUUGUGGGUAGCGGAGAAAUUCCAAACGAACUUGGAGAUAGCUGGUUCUCUCCGAAAUAGCUUUAGGGCUAGCGUCGACAUUUGAGAAUCUUGGAGGUAGAGCACUGUUUGGAUGAGGGGGCCAUCUCGGUUUACUGAUUUCAGAUAAACUCCGAAUGCCAAUGAUUUAUGGUCGGCAGUCAGACUGCGAGUGCUAAGAUCCGUAGUCGAAAGGGAAACAGCCCAGACCACCAGCUAAGGUCCCAAAAUAAUUGUUAAGUGGAAAAGGAUGUGGGGUUGCACAGACAACUAGGAUGUUAGCUUAGAAGCAGCUAUUCAUUCAAAGAGUGCGUAAUAGCUCACUAGUCGAGUGACCCUGCGCCGAAAAUGUACCGGGGCUAAAACAAUUUACCGAAGCUGUGGAUAACAC